Molecule: non-coding RNA, 1342 nt
Organism: Megalopta genalis
Lineage: Eukaryota; Metazoa; Arthropoda; Insecta; Hymenoptera; Halictidae
Source: RefSeq, a predicted model, not a curated record
CUGCCAACGUUGAAAUUAAUUCUAACCAAUUGCGGUCUCGUAUGUGAGGAUCGAGCAACGGCCGGCUUGGCGAUCUAACAAGAUCUAAACUUCGGGCGGAUGUGCGCGGUUGAAGACUGUUUUACAAGAAAGAAUUUCGUAGACAAAGAUGGACAAUUUGAGUUUUCCUUCUGCAAAGAAAAACUAUAACUCUAUAUAAUAUAGAGUAAUUAUUAUAAUAUAUUAUUAUAAUAUAUUAUAGAUUAUAUAUAUACUAAAAAGAUAUGCCAAAAAUGUUGAGAGUAUCAAAGAGAAUAAUAAGCGUGAUUACUCUUGCACGGUGUGCAACGAGAAAUAUGAAGCCUCUCCCAUAGUGGAUUGAAUUGAAUGUUCUUCGUGCAAGGAAUGGACGCACGAAGUGUUAUGGUUCCUAUUUUUGCGAGAACUGUGACGACUAAUGUGCCAUUUUUCAUCGUUGUUCCUUUUGCCCGCUCUGCGAAUCCGCUUUGCCCGCAAUUUACAAAAUUUUAGUCUCGCAAAACCGUGAACCCUGACCCAGGAACGAGAGAAGGGAGAAAGUCGAGGGCUGAGAUCCGGUAGCCGGGGAUCUUAAUUCGAGUUUAACGAAAGUAGUUGAUAAGGAGCGGAGGAACCGCCUCGAUAAUUGGUUCUCGAACGUCGAGAUUGUUCCAUCCGUUGUGCGCCGCCAGUGAUUCAUCCCUUCGGCCACCCUCCGAACGGGAGCGUAGCCAUUCUAGCCACGAGCUACGCAUUAAUUUGGGAACGAUCUCGUGGGAGGAAUAAGGAAUACCUGCUAUCUUUCCCUGCGCGCACACCGUAUCAGCUUCCCGGUGCUGGACGACCUCGGAUAAUUGCUCACAAGUUGACCCGGCAUUCAGCAACGCCCUUAGACCGGUGACGCAGCUCAAACUAUCCUCCCGGUGCAUCUGCGCCCUCAGGAUGCACCUGGCCAGCUCCUUGAGACGGUCAAACGGUAAACUGUCGCUGUGUUAAUAGAGGCGGCUAGUAGUCUAUGGUCGUGAUUUAUGGGGAUUUACUGCGUACGAAAGCGAAUUUGCCACCUCCGCUUAAAAUUCAGUCUUGUAUUUUUGUGUAUUACGUUCUGCGUAUUUAUAGCGUUAAGUAUUCGCGAAUAUUUACGUGUGCAUCGAUAUGUUUGAUUUCAUGAAAUAUGGAAGUAACGAUGAAUAUUGUGGCGUAACAUUAAAAUUAUAGUGAUAUAUGAAAAUAACAGUAACACGCGAGGUUUAUAGCGAAAUACAAAAAUAAUAUUGAAAUAUGAAAAUUAUAAUGAAGUGUGGAAAGUAUAGUGAAGUAUGAAAAUAAUAGUGGAAUAUGAAAA